Regulatory RNA element from Ruminococcus flavefaciens 007c, 103 nucleotides. It matches the Rfam family "SAM riboswitch aptamer (S box leader)". From Rfam's summary of the family: The SAM riboswitch is found upstream of a number of genes which code for proteins involved in methionine or cysteine biosynthesis in Gram-positive bacteria. NCBI's taxonomy places the organism in Bacteria, Bacillati, Bacillota, Clostridia, Eubacteriales, Oscillospiraceae. The record is from Rfam.
ACCUUAUCAAGAGCGGCGGAGGUAACAGGACCUGUGAAGCCGCAGCAACCCGACCUUUGAGUCGAAGGUGCUAAUUCCUGCGGUUUUAUCCGGAAGAUGAGGA